UACGUAGGGUGCGAGCGUUAAUCGGAAUUACUGGGCGUAAAGCGCGUGUAGGCUGCUCUGCAAGUCGGGUGUGAAAGCCCCGGGCUCAACCUGGGAAGUGCACUCGAAACUGCAGAGCUCGAGUCCUGGAGAGGAAGGCGGAAUUCUCGGUGUAGAGGUGAAAUUCGUAGAUAUCGAGAGGAACACCGGUGGCGAAGGCGGCCUUCUGGACAGUGACUGACGCUGAGACGCGAAAGCGUGGGGAGCAAACAGG
This 253-nucleotide ribosomal RNA is filed under the name uncultured bacterium. RNAcentral describes it as "partial 16S ribosomal RNA". It matches the Rfam family "Bacterial small subunit ribosomal RNA", at positions 524 to 776 of the family's 1533-position model. The record is from RNAcentral.